This is a long non-coding RNA of Trichoplusia ni (cabbage looper), 613 nucleotides long. RefSeq lists it as uncharacterized. Lineage: Eukaryota; Metazoa; Arthropoda; Insecta; Lepidoptera; Noctuidae. The record is from RefSeq and is a predicted model, not a curated record. The transcript is spliced from 2 exons.
AAGUGGGUCCCUGUGCUCUGACGCAAGUCCUAUGCUUCAAGCGGCUGUGAGAUCCUCCAGCGGUCAGUCCAGCCUGCUCCGUUCCGUAGCAACCAUGCCCAUCAACGCGGAGACGGUCAACCUGGCCGCCACCUACAUGAUCCUCGUCAUCCUCCUCUUCUUCCUGUGGCUACUCUACUCCACUGUCUUCUAGACUAUGUCAUCCAGGAACAACUGACACUUGAUACACAUUCAAGAUGGCGGCCAUCAAACGCUAUAAAGUUUAAUAUUUAGGAAACCGUAAUUUUAGUUGUUAAGCUAUUUGUAAGUUAAGCAAUGUACACCCAAGCAUUUAAAUAUGAUAAGAUCAUGGAACAACAUGGCGACCAGAGGCACAUGCGGACGACAUUACAGAACUCAUACCACCCAUCGAGUUAAUCAGUGCUGGGCAUUCCAAUAUAAAUAAAGUCUAAACUAAAAAUAUGUGAAAGACAACAUUUUUAUGGCAAGUAAUUAAUAUCAAGGCAAUUAAUGAGUUAACUAAUUAUUGUUGAUGUUCGGUGCAAAUCAUGUCGUUAAAGAUUUUAAGUUGUUAUGAACUAAGAGAGUUUUUGUAAUAAAGGCUUUUUUUAGA